UACGUAGGGGGCAAGCGUUGUCCGGAUUUAUUGGGCGUAAAGAGCGUGUAGGCGGUUUGGUAGGUCCGCUGUGAAAACUCGAGGCUCAACCUCGAGACGCCGGUGGAAACCAUCAGACUAGAGUCCGGAAGAGGAGAGUGGAAUUCCUGGUGUAGCGGUGAAAUGCGCAGAUAUCAGGAAGAACACCCGUGGCUAAGGCGGCUCUCUGGGCCGAAACUGACGCUGAGGAGCGAAAGCGUGGGGAGCAAACAGG
Molecule: ribosomal RNA, 253 nt
Filed under: uncultured bacterium
Lineage: Bacteria
Description: partial 16S ribosomal RNA
Rfam family: Bacterial small subunit ribosomal RNA
Source: RNAcentral